GAUGAACGCUAGCGGGAGGCCUAACACAUGCAAGCCGAGCGGUAGAGAUCUUUCGGGAUCUUGAGAGCGGCGUACGGGUGCGGAACACGUGUGCAACCUGCCUUUAUCAGGGGGAUAGCCUUUCGAAAGGAAGAUUAAUACCCCAUAAUAUAUUGAAUGGCAUCAUUUGAUAUUGAAAACUCCGGUGGAUAGAGAUGGGCACGCGCAAGAUUAGAUAGUUGGUAGGGUAACGGCCUACCAAGUCAGUGAUCUUUAGGGGGCCUGAGAGGGUGAUCCCCCACACUGGUACUGAGACACGGACCAGACUCCUACGGGAGGUAGCAGUGAGGAAUAUUGAACAAUGGGUGAGAGCCUGAUCCAGCCAUCCCGCGUGAAGGACGACGGCCCUAUGGGUUGUAAACUUCUUUUGUAUAGGGAUAAACCUUUCCACGUGUGGAAAGCUGAAGGUACUAUACGAAUAAGCACCGGCUAACUCCGUG
This 479-nucleotide ribosomal RNA is filed under the name uncultured bacterium. RNAcentral describes it as "partial 16S ribosomal RNA". It matches the Rfam family "Bacterial small subunit ribosomal RNA", at positions 28 to 507 of the family's 1533-position model. The record is from RNAcentral.